UAACACAUCUUAUCAAAUGUGCUUUUUUCAUCUUGCUACAGAAAAUGAACUCACUAAACGUAUCUUUCUCUCUCUGUCUGUCUUUUUCUGUCUCACACACAGACACACACAAGUUUGUUUUUCUAGACCUAUUAUUACUUUAUUAAAUCAAUCCUCCAGCUGCUGCUGGCAUUUUUACUAAAGCCAGGAAGAUAGAGCACAUCAGCCCAGUUCUAAAGUCCUUACACUGGCUCCAUGUAGCUCAGAGAAUAGACUUUAAGAUACUGCUGUUGGUUUAUAGAUCACUGAACGGCUUAGCACCACAAUACAUUAAAGAUCUGUUGUUAUUGUAUCAACCUUCCAGUUCACUCAGGUCUCUGGUUCUAAUCUUCGGAAUCUUGAACAAACUUCCAGAAAACUGCAAAACAGCUGAAACACUGAGUUCCUUUAAUCAAGAUUAAAAACCCAUUUGUUUAGAGUUGGCCUUAAUUAAUAAAAACUGGAACACAGAUAAGAUGUGAUGUAAGUUUUGUUUGUUUACUGUGUUAUUUUUCAUCUUGUCAAACAGAUUUAAUUGACUCGAAAUGUGUUUUACAAAUAAAGUUGACUUAUUGACUUUCCUUAUCUGAUACAAUAUUUCUUUGGACCUGUGAGCAAACAUUACCAAAUUAGAAGUACAAGCUGAGUGUAUGUAUCUCUGAACUGUUUUGUAUGUGAUAUCUGCUGGCUUUGUCUGACUGCAAACCUUUUUUCCUCUGCAGACCUGCAUCCAAAUCUCUGGGGAGCUGGCCGGGCGGCAAAACCAGAAGCUUCCAGCUUUGGGAACAUAAAGGUUUUUAAAGUCGCUGCGGUCUCCACAGUAACAAGCAGUACUAAUUUCAAAGCUAGUUGCACAGUCAGCUUUUGACCCUUGAAUCUGCAGUCAGAGGAUGCCCAGCAUCACUACCUUAUUAAAACAAUUUCUCUCUCCCAGUUGGCCUGCUUUGUUGUUUACAGUUUUGUUCUCUCAGAAGUAACCCUGUAACAUGGAGGAUGAGCCCAAGCCAGCAUCCGUGUAUUUAUGACGCUUGUUCUCCGUAAUAUGUCUGUCUCGCUCCGUGUGCAUGUAUUCUUUUGUGUGUGAGCUCUGUCAGAGCUCAUGAUGAGUCAUGGCUCAGUCUGGAGCCUCUGCAACACGGCAGGGAGUUUAGAAUAUAGAGCAGAUCCAGUGUUUCACCAACAGAGAGACGGGGAGACGCUCACACACAGUGGUGGUUAUGCAGUCGUGACCUGGGUUGGUGAGUUUUCACUCUAACUUUCUGCUGCUGCCCUGAUCAAUGACUUGGAUUUAAGCUAUUUGAUGUCAUACAUCAAAGGUGAAAUAAGGACUUUACAGGAGGAACUGUCUCCAAUUUACCCAGGUGAGUUUCCAUAGCAUCCUAAAUCUAUUUGAGUAAAGCUGCAGAGUUAAUUCAUAUUUGACAAAAAGUCUGUCUCAAAGAAUAAAGCUGUAUGUCCUGCAAAAACACAGUUUGGUACAUGACUUAA
Xiphophorus hellerii (green swordtail) is the source of this 1506-nucleotide long non-coding RNA. RefSeq lists it as uncharacterized. Lineage: Eukaryota; Metazoa; Chordata; Actinopteri; Cyprinodontiformes; Poeciliidae. The record is from RefSeq and is a predicted model, not a curated record. The transcript is spliced from 2 exons.